RNAcentral lists this ribosomal RNA (672 nucleotides) under Triticum aestivum (bread wheat). RNAcentral describes it as "partial small subunit ribosomal RNA". The record is from RNAcentral. Lineage: Eukaryota; Viridiplantae; Streptophyta; Magnoliopsida; Poales; Poaceae.
AUGCACGCCAUGGAUGAGGAGAUGAAGGCGAUCGAGAGCAAUGGCACGUGGACUUUGGUAACCCGACCUCCGAACCAAAAGGCCAUAGGUUUGAAGUGGGUUUACAAGUUGAAGAAGGACGCGAAGGGUGCCAUUGUGAAGCACAAGGCAAGACUCGUCGCAAAGGGCUACGUACAACGUCAAGGAGUUGACUAUGAGGAGGUGUUUCCACCGGUUGCUCGAAUCGAGAUGGUGAGAGUGCUCCUAGCUUUGGCAGCACAAGAGGAUUGGAAGGUUCAUCAUAUGGAUGAGAAAUCCGCUUUCCUCAACGGCGACCUCAAAGAAGAAGUGUACGUGGAACAACCCCUCGGCUACGAGAAGAAAUGCGAAGACGGAAAAAUUUACAAGCUCAAGAAGGCACUUUACAGGCUGAAGCAAACGCCAAGAGCUUGGAAUUCGAAGUUAGACCGAAGUAUGGUCUCGUGCGGGUUCAAAAGAUAUCCCCUGUAUGGUCCAAAAGACAGUCUACCAAGCACCGAAGAACAGGUGAAGGUUGAAGACGCGACCAAGGAGGAGCGCUGGCGUCAAGCUACAGAUGAGCCAACGCUAGCAAAGUCGAUGACUGGGAUUCUACAAGGAACGACGAAGGCAAUACCUAUGGGUAGUAGUCGCAUUUGGGAUCCGGGUCAAUAG